AGGGAAACAACCCAGACCGCCAGCUAAGGUCCCAAAGUAUAUGUUAAGUGGGAAACGAUGUGGGAAGGCUAAAACAGCUAGGAGGUUGGCUUAGAAGCAGCCACCCUUUAAAGAAAGCGUAAUAGCUCACUAGUCGAGUCGGCCUGCGCGGAAGAUGUAACGGGGCUAAACAUAUCACCGAAGCUGCGGAUUUGUCUUAGGACAAGUGGUAGGGGAGCGUUCUGUAAGCGGUUGAAGGUGUACCGGGAGGUAUGCUGGACGUAUCAGAAGUGCGAAUGCUGACAUGAGUAACGAUAAUGCGGGUGAAAAACCCGCACGCCGGAAGACCAAGGGUUCCUAUCCCAUGUUAAUCAGGGUAGGGUAAGUCGACCCCUAAGGCGAGGCUGAAGAGCGUAGUCGAUGGGAAA
This 407-nucleotide ribosomal RNA is filed under the name Pseudoalteromonas sp. MSK9-3. Its description in RNAcentral is "bacterial LSU rRNA". It matches the Rfam family "Bacterial large subunit ribosomal RNA", at positions 1016 to 1425 of the family's 2925-position model. The record is from RNAcentral. Lineage: Bacteria; Pseudomonadati; Pseudomonadota; Gammaproteobacteria; Alteromonadales; Pseudoalteromonadaceae.